UACGUAGGGUGCAAGCGUUAAUCGGAAUUACUGGGCGUAAAGCGUGCGCAGGCGGUUCGUUGUGUCUGUGGUGAAAGCCCCGGGCUUAACCUGGGAAUGGCCAUGGAAACUGGCGAGCUGGAGUGUGGCAGAGGGGGGUGGAAUUCCGCGUGUAGCAGUGAAAUGCGUAGAGAUGCGGAGGAACACCGAUGGCGAAGGCAGCCCCCUGGGCUAACACUGACGCUGAGGCACGAAAGCGUGGGGAGCAAACAGG
RNAcentral lists this ribosomal RNA (253 nucleotides) under uncultured bacterium. RNAcentral describes it as "partial 16S ribosomal RNA". It matches the Rfam family "Bacterial small subunit ribosomal RNA", at positions 524 to 776 of the family's 1533-position model. The record is from RNAcentral.